UACGUAGGGUGCGAGCGUUGUCCGGAAUUAUUGGGCGUAAAGAGCUCGUAGGUGGCUUGUUGCGUCUGCCGUGAAAGCCCGUGGCUUAACUGCGGGUCUGCGGUGGAUACGGGCAGGCUAGAGGCUGGUAGGGGCAAGCGGAAUUCCUGGUGUAGCGGUGAAAUGCGCAGAUAAUCAGGAGGAACACCGGUGGCGAAGGCGGCUUGCUGGGCCAGUUCUGACGCUGAGGAGCGAAAGCGUGGGGAGCGAACAGGA
RNAcentral lists this ribosomal RNA (255 nucleotides) under uncultured bacterium. Its description in RNAcentral is "partial 16S ribosomal RNA". It matches the Rfam family "Bacterial small subunit ribosomal RNA", at positions 524 to 777 of the family's 1533-position model. The record is from RNAcentral.